Molecule: transfer RNA, 73 nt
Filed under: Ovis aries (sheep)
Lineage: Eukaryota; Metazoa; Chordata; Mammalia; Artiodactyla; Bovidae
Rfam family: tRNA
About the family: Transfer RNA (tRNA) molecules are approximately 80 nucleotides in length. Their secondary structure includes four short double-helical elements and three loops (D, anti-codon, and T loops). Further hydrogen bonds mediate the characteristic L-shaped molecular structure. tRNAs have two regions of fundamental functional importance: the anti-codon, which is responsible for specific mRNA codon recognition, and the 3' end, to which the tRNAs corresponding amino acid is attached (by aminoacyl-tRNA synthetases). tRNAs cope with the degeneracy of the genetic code in two manners: having more than one tRNA (with a specific anti-codon) for a particular amino acid; and 'wobble' base-pairing, i.e. permitting non-standard base-pairing at the 3rd anti-codon position.
Source: Rfam by way of RNAcentral
UCCCAGGUGGUCUGGUGGUUAAGACACUGUGCUUCCACUGCAGGGGGCAUGGGUUCGAUCCCUGGUUGGGGAA